AAAGAUUUAGGUGGAGUUUAAAUAGCGUUUAAAACGAACCAUUUAGAUAUGGUUUAAAUGGAACAUUUGAUUGACCUACGUUCUAGAUCGAAACUAAAUUAAAUCUAAACAUUUAGAACGAACAUUAACUAAACGUUGAUAAAAUGUUCGAAUGCUUGCUGGGUUAUUAUAUUUAUCAUGUUUUAAAUAGUAAAGUAAAAAUAUAAUAAAAUUUUUAAAUUUAAUAGUAUGUGUAUAAGUCCUUUUAUUUUAACUUUAUCAUUUUAUUUAAAUCAUUGCAUUAUAAGUUUAACUGGUGAUAGAAAUAAUGUUUUACAUCUUUCAGAUAGAUCGGACAAAGAACAGGCAGGUUUGACUGGCAAUAUAACUGAAUUUGUACAUCAUGCAGAUAGCUCAGACAAAGAAUAAUGUUUGACUGGAAAUAUAAAUGUUGUACAUCAUGCAGAUAGCUUGGGUGGUAAAGAGUCUAGAUUGGUGAAAUGGACAAUGAUACUAACUGUGGUCAAAUGAUACUAACUGUGGUCGAAUGAUACUAACUGUGGUCAAAACAAUAAUGAAUAUCAAAAUGUAAAUGUUAAUUUCUUUGACGAUUACCUAGUUCUGCAAUUACAGUUGGCUGUGCAAUCGCACUUAUAAUUGGUUUUGAUGUUUUUUUAGAUUGAAUAUAUUGUAUUGAUGGUUCUUUUUAAUUUGUUGAAACUUUAAGUUAUUAGUUAUCAAAUUUAUAUAUACUAUUUUUAUCAAAUAGU
Molecule: non-coding RNA, 749 nt
Organism: Hydra vulgaris (swiftwater hydra)
Lineage: Eukaryota; Metazoa; Cnidaria; Hydrozoa; Anthoathecata; Hydridae
Source: RefSeq, a predicted model, not a curated record